Molecule: ribosomal RNA, 450 nt
Filed under: uncultured bacterium
Lineage: Bacteria
Description: partial 16S ribosomal RNA
Rfam family: Bacterial small subunit ribosomal RNA
Source: RNAcentral
GUGGGGAAUAUUGGACAAUGGGCGAAAGCCUGAUCCAGCCAUGCCGCGUGUGUGAAGAAGGUCUUCGGAUUGUAAAGCACUUUAAGUUGGGAGGAGGGGCAGUAAGUUAAUACCUUGCUGUUUUGACGUUACCGACAGAAUAAGCACCGGCUAACUUCGUGCCAGCAGCCGCGGUAAUACGAAGGGUGCAAGCGUUAAUCGGAAUUACUGGGCGUAAAGCGCGCGUAGGUGGUUUUGUAAGUUGGAGGUGAAAUCCCCGGGCUCAACCUGGGAACUGCCUCCAAAACUGCAUGACUAGAGUACGGUAGAGGGUAGUGGAAUUUCCUGUGUAGCGGUGAAAUGCGUAGAUAUAGGAAGGAACACCAGUGGCGAAGGCGACUACCUGGACUGAUACUGACACUGAGGUGCGAAAGCGUGGGGAGCAAACAGGAUUAGAUACCCGUGUAGUCC